GCAUGUAGGGAUUUUCUUCUCUAAAUACACACAUAUGCUGCUUUGCUUUCAAUUUAUUAUUUCUAUUCCUACAUGUCAACUCACCAAUUUUUUCCAUUCUUAUCACUACUGUAGCAAAAAACUUUCAUGGAAUUAAACAGAUUAAUAUGAAAUUAGAAUGCUUACAUUGGUGCCUAGCUAGAACAUUCGGAACCAGUAUAAGCAGAAAUUGAGAGAACAGUUAGAUACUCUGGCAUAUUUGAUCAAAGAAUGAUGCAGACUCAAGCAUGCCACCAAGUGAUGGAUGAAGCAGAAAAGGAGUACAAGAAGUUUUCCGAACGGAUCACUGAAAGCCGUGAGGCAGUGAAGGUUAUUUGAAGCUUGGCAUAGUAAAAUACCUCUACUUGUUGAAGCUGUAAAGUCCUUGCUAGAGGAGCCGAGUUUAGGUGUUCGGAAAGCACCUUCUGAGUUAAUUGUGGUUAUGGCUUCACAUUGUUACUUGGUUGGUUUAUCUGGAGAGUUGUUCAUUGAGUAUCUUAUACGGCACCGUGCUUUAACUGACAAUAAUCGUGGUGAUCUUGACAUCCUGAAUAAGAGAGUGGAGGUAAAAUUUCUCCCCAAUCCUUGCUUCUCAAUAAACAAGUGCCACGUGUGUACAAUGAUAAGACCAUGAUUGAAACCAAAAUUUACUUUCUUAAAUGCCAUCUUAGCUCGGUGAUGAUCAUGCCAGAAACUUAUAUUGUUGUGCCAUGAUUCAAUUUAUAAAAGGAACUAUACCACAAACAUAUAAUUAG
Arachis stenosperma is the source of this 773-nucleotide long non-coding RNA. RefSeq lists it as uncharacterized. NCBI's taxonomy places the organism in Eukaryota, Viridiplantae, Streptophyta, Magnoliopsida, Fabales, Fabaceae. The record is from RefSeq and is a predicted model, not a curated record. The transcript has 4 exons.